Long non-coding RNA from Trichomycterus rosablanca, 902 nucleotides. RefSeq lists it as uncharacterized. NCBI's taxonomy places the organism in Eukaryota, Metazoa, Chordata, Actinopteri, Siluriformes, Trichomycteridae. The transcript has 3 exons. The record is from RefSeq and is a predicted model, not a curated record.
AUAUUACCAUACAGCCGUUUAUAAAAUAUGGGAUUUUUUUCCCGUUAUAAUGCUGAUUGACGGUUUAGCUGCGAGUAGGCCUACACUGAAGCACUGUUCUCAUCUAAGAAACGUUCAUAUUUAACCAGCGAAUGUUAAUGUUGGUUAUACUAGUGGGAAUGUUGCCUACUCGAACACGAACAUAAAUUAAUUUGACUUACUUUUUCGAUUAGUGUUGAUGACAACGUGUCGCCACCGAAUCCUUCACAGUUCUGGCGGUAAACGACUUGUUAUUUGACGAAAGUUAAAAUCCAGUUAAUUUGUGCAAUACCGCCACUUUCUGCUCCGGAGUGCUUCCACAGAAAUCACGGGAAAGCGAACGUGGUCCCUCAUUAUCGAGUGGAGUCACUGUGAGUGUGAACGGUGUGUGAUUCGGUGUCUCUGUUCGGCGGUGCUUCUGGACCUCAUACUUACCUGGCAGGUUGAUUGAUGUAACAACUUCGGAACCACCACAUUAUCUCAGGUUUUACGGGAAGGAGUUUAGGAGAGGCGCGCACACAGAAACAGUUCGGCUAUGAUGGAUGGAGCCGCAGUGGAGCAGGAGCAGAAGAGGAUUUUUUACACCAAAACUGGGAACCAGCAAAAAAUAAAGGUGAACAAUGAUUGGAUUGUUAAGGGAAAAGAACAAAGCAGGUUGCAGGUUGAGAAGUGGUUUACCUCACUACGUUUGCUACCCAGGAUCUACCUAGGAACACGGUUCAUUUCAAGUCGGGUAUGUGAGUCGACAGUGUUGAGUGGAGUUUUAUACCAAAACUACUGUGUUUCUGUAACCCUGCAUUUCUGAAGCUCUUGUGUUAUUUCUAAUGUAACUUUAUCUAGAUUCAUUGUUCAUUGUUGUACUAUGCAUUCAAUACUGAUAUAUU